This 2915-nucleotide ribosomal RNA is filed under the name Klebsiella pneumoniae. RNAcentral describes it as "23S ribosomal RNA". It matches the Rfam family "Bacterial large subunit ribosomal RNA". Lineage: Bacteria; Pseudomonadati; Pseudomonadota; Gammaproteobacteria; Enterobacterales; Enterobacteriaceae. The record is from RNAcentral.
GGGUUGUGAGGUUAAGCGACUAAGCGUACACGGUGGAUGCCCUGGCAGUCAGAGGCGAUGAAGGACGUGCUAAUCUGCGAAAAGCGUCGGUAAGGUGAUAUGAACCGUUAUAACCGGCGAUGUCCGAAUGGGGAAACCCAGUGCAAUUCGUUGCACUAUCGUUAACUGAAUACAUAGGUUAACGAGGCGAACCGGGGAACUGAAACAUCUAAGUACCCCGAGGAAAAGAAAUCAACCGAGAUUCCCCAGUAGCGGCGAGCGAACGGGGAGCAGCCCAGAGUCUGAAUCAGCUUGUGUGUUAGUGGAACGGUCUGGAAAGUCCGACGGUACAGGGUGAUAGUCCCGUACACCAAAAUGCACAGGCUGUGAACUCGAAGAGUAGGGCGGGACACGUGGUAUCCUGUCUGAAUAUGGGGGGACCAUCCUCCAAGGCUAAAUACUCCUGACUGACCGAUAGUGAACCAGUACCGUGAGGGAAAGGCGAAAAGAACCCCGGCGAGGGGAGUGAAAAAGAACCUGAAACCGUGUACGUACAAGCAGUGGGAGCACCUUCGGGUGUGACUGCGUACCUUUUGUAUAAUGGGUCAGCGACUUAUAUUCUGUAGCAAGGUUAACCGUAUAGGGGAGCCGCAGGGAAACCGAGUCUUAACUGGGCGUUAAGUUGCAGGGUAUAGACCCGAAACCCGGUGAUCUAGCCAUGGGCAGGUUGAAGGUUGGGUAACACUAACUGGAGGACCGAACCGACUAAUGUUGAAAAAUUAGCGGAUGACUUGUGGCUGGGGGUGAAAGGCCAAUCAAACCGGGAGAUAGCUGGUUCUCCCCGAAAGCUAUUUAGGUAGCGCCUCGUGAACUCAUCUUCGGGGUAGAGCACUGUUUCGGCUAGGGGUCAUCCCGACUUACCAACCCGAUGCAAACUACGAAUACCGAAGAAUGUUAUCACGGGAGACACACGGCGGGUGCUAACGUCCGUCGUGAAGAGGGAAACAACCCAGACCGCCAGCUAAGGUCCCAAAGUCAUGGUUAAGUGGGAAACGAUGUGGGAAGGCACAGACAGCCAGGAUGUUGGCUUAGAAGCAGCCAUCAUUUAAAGAAAGCGUAAUAGCUCACUGGUCGAGUCGGCCUGCGCGGAAGAUGUAACGGGGCUAAACCAUGCACCGAAGCUGCGGCAGCGACACUAUGUGUUGUUGGGUAGGGGAGCGUUCUGUAAGCCUGCGAAGGUGUGCUGUGAGGCAUGCUGGAGGUAUCAGAAGUGCGAAUGCUGACAUAAGUAACGAUAAAGCGGGUGAAAAGCCCGCUCGCCGGAAGACCAAGGGUUCCUGUCCAACGUUAAUCGGGGCAGGGUGAGUCGACCCCUAAGGCGAGGCCGAAAGGCGUAGUCGAUGGGAAACAGGUUAAUAUUCCUGUACUUGGUGUUACUGCGAAGGGGGACGGAGAAGGCUAUGUUAGCCGGGCGACGGUUGUCCCGGUUUAAGCAUGUAGGCUGAUUGUCCAGGCAAAUCCGGAUAAUCAAGGCUGAGGUGUGAUGACGAGGCACUACGGUGCUGAAGUAACAAAUGCCCUGCUUCCAGGAAAAGCCUCUAAGCAUCAGGUAACAUUAAAUCGUACCCCAAACCGACACAGGUGGUCAGGUAGAGAAUACCAAGGCGCUUGAGAGAACUCGGGUGAAGGAACUAGGCAAAAUGGUGCCGUAACUUCGGGAGAAGGCACGCUGGUGUGUAGGUGAAGUCCCUGCGGAUGGAGCUGAGACCAGUCGAAGAUACCAGCUGGCUGCAACUGUUUAUUAAAAACACAGCACUGUGCAAACACGAAAGUGGACGUAUACGGUGUGACGCCUGCCCGGUGCCGGAAGGUUAAUUGAUGGGGUUAUCCGUAAGGAGAAGCUCUUGAUCGAAGCCCCGGUAAACGGCGGCCGUAACUAUAACGGUCCUAAGGUAGCGAAAUUCCUUGUCGGGUAAGUUCCGACCUGCACGAAUGGCGUAAUGAUGGCCAGGCUGUCUCCACCCGAGACUCAGUGAAAUUGAACUCGCUGUGAAGAUGCAGUGUACCCGCGGCAAGACGGAAAGACCCCGUGAACCUUUACUAUAGCUUGACACUGAACAUUGAGCCUUGAUGUGUAGGAUAGGUGGGAGGCUUUGAAGCGUGGACGCCAGUCUGCGUGGAGCCAACCUUGAAAUACCACCCUUUAAUGUUUGAUGUUCUAACGUUGGCCCCUGACCGGGGUUGCGGACAGUGUCUGGUGGGUAGUUUGACUGGGGCGGUCUCCUCCCAAAGCGUAACGGAGGAGCACGAAGGUUAGCUAAUCCUGGUCGGACAUCAGGAGGUUAGUGCAAUGGCAUAAGCUAGCUUGACUGCGAGCGUGACGGCGCGAGCAGGUGCGAAAGCAGGUCAUAGUGAUCCGGUGGUUCUGAAUGGAAGGGCCAUCGCUCAACGGAUAAAAGGUACUCCGGGGAUAACAGGCUGAUACCGCCCAAGAGUUCAUAUCGACGGCGGUGUUUGGCACCUCGAUGUCGGCUCAUCACAUCCUGGGCUGAAGUAGGUCCCAAGGGUAUGGCUGUUCGCCAUUUAAAGUGGUACGCGAGCUGGGUUUAGAACGUCGUGAGACAGUUCGGUCCCUAUCUGCCGUGGGCGCUGGAGAAUUGAGGGGGCUGCUCCUAGUACGAGAGGACCGGAGUGGACGCAUCACUGGUGUUCGGGUUGUCAUGCCAAUGGCACUGCCCGGUAGCUAAAUGCGGAAGAGAUAAGUGCUGAAAGCAUCUAAGCACGAAACUUGCCCGAGAUGAGUUCUCCCUGAGACUUUAAGUCUCCUGAAGGAACGUUAAAGACGAUGACGUUGAUAGGCCGGGUGUGUAAGCGCAGCGAUGCGUUGAGCUAACCGGUACUAAUGAACCGUGAGGCUUAACCUUACAACGCCGAAG